GUAAACAAUGAAGGUGUAGGUUUGCUUGUGCCUUAAAUAAGGUAUUUCCUUUUCUGUCCUAAAUUUAAUUUAAUAUAUUAAAAUGUUCCCGUCCUAAUAUGAACAAAAAAAUGCUUAUGAAAAUAAAUAGUGUAUUUAUUCAGAGUAUUUACAGUUACAGAGGAUUAUAUAAGUAUAUUUUAAUGCCUGGUGCCUGAUGGGAUGUGAAGGUGGUCUUGCCUUAAUUUGCUGUUAAAUUUGUCCACAGAUCUUUGAACUCCUAGAAAAAUUUAAUUAAGUGUUUAUAUGGGAACUGUAUCUUAAAGUUAAGAAACUGCUGAACUAUUAGUCUAGUUUUGUUCUGAUUUAGCUCUUAAAAUACUAAAGAAGCUGGUUGGAGCCACAAUGAAAAGGAAGGCACAAACUGCAGAGUUCAAGCCUCCCAUGAAGAGAUUUGCCAGGAUAAGCAGACGGAACAGCAGAGAAAACGCUGGCGAAUCUGGCGAAACUGGAGAAAUACAGCCAACAGAUGCAAAGCAAAUUUCAGCCACUGUAGCUUCCAGUAUUCAGUCUGCAGCACCCUUGGGCAACUCUGAAGAACAUCAACCACAAUGCAGCCCACAACUUGACUCAGACCUGAUUGAUUUAAACAUCAAACAUCCUGAGGAUGCAGGAAUGGAAGAGGACACUGGUCCUAAACAUCAGACACCUCAACUUCGCAAAGGUUCCUUGGACGAGACUGGAGAUGACAUGCUUGUGAACAUAGAAGAGAUGUCUGGUGCCAUAGCAGUGCCAGCAAAGGCCUGUGAAGAACCAGAACCAGAAUGCCCAAAGUCUCCACCAAAGAAAAGAUUGAGAAGAAGGAUGGGUAUGUGUGGCCUAGGAGACAGGAAGAGAAGGCUAGUUAAUGAUGGACAACAGUGUAGGCAAUCUCCCACUGAAACAAAGAUGGCGGAAAGUACAGAAGCAACUGGUAAAGAAAGUGGAGAUGUACUGAAAUGUAUUGAUGAUGGUUCUCCCCUCUUGAAAAAUGAAGGAACCACGGAAUCAGUGUUUUUAGAACAAAAUCACAGCAGCCUACAGCAGAUGAUGACAGAGGGAGCAUCGUCAACUGAGCAGGAAAUACAAGAUCUACCAUCAGAAACUGCUUGGAAAAUUGAGGAAUCUGACCUUAAAGAAUGUAGAACAUUCCAUGGUAUGGAUAUGGUUUCUAAGGCUUCAAAGAUAAUUGCUGAUUGCCUUGAUGAUGUAGAAAUGCAAUAUGGCCCCACUGGUCAUGAUACGGAGGAUAGUGGUAUGGCUGAAACAGGACUUCCCGAGGAAGAGUACCAAGUUGGGGAAGAAGCAAACUAUGGCUGUACUGAUCUCACAGAUGAAGAUUCCAACAAAGGCUCCAAGGAAACAGAUGAACACCUUGUUGAAGUUCCUGAAAAACUGUUUUUUGGCUUGCUUGGUGUUACCAGUGUGACUUCUGGCUCUAGUUCUGUUCCUGGUGUUGUUUCUGAUGGUUCCAAAAGUACCCCAGUUGAUGUAGCUGAGAAAAUGAACUACAGUUCUAUUGGUACUCAUGAUGCUACUGAAGACUCCAAGGUAAAAGCAGAGCAACAUCAUGCCUCUACUCAAGAAAUUCACAAAGACUCCACUGAAAAAACUAACAAGGAUUCGACUCAAGAAGCUGAAGAUGUAAGCCACGGCACUGAUACUGUUACUGAAGUUUGUGAAGGUUCAAGAGAACCGAUUGAACACCUAGUUAAUGAGGCAGUGAUCUUUGGGUCUACCAGUGUUACUGCAGUGGGCUCUACAGAACAAAUUGAGCACCCAGUUGAUGAAGCAGUAAUCAAUUGCUCCAACAGUGUUAAUAAAGUUUGUGGAGGUUCUAAAAAUCCAACUGAAUAUGCAGGUGAAGUUGCUGAAGAUGAGAAGAACUAUGGUUCUGCAGCAGUUACCAACGACGAUUGUGAAAGUUCUGUAGAAGUGAAUAAGCUCCCAGUUGCUGAUAGGGGGAUCUAUGGCUCUCCCAGUGAUACUGAAUUUUGUGAAAGCUCUAGAAAACCAACUGAACUCACAGUUCAAGUGACAGAGGAAGUGACCAAUGGUCCUAUUUAUUAUAUUAAAUUCUGUGAAUGUUCAAAAGAAUGGACUGAGCACCCAGUUGAACUGAGUGAAUUGGAGAGCUAUGCUUCUACUGCUGGUACCAAUGAAGUUUCUGAAGAUUCUAAGGAAACUAUUGGGCACCCACCUCAAAUGACUGAAGAAGUGAACUGUGCUUCUACAGCUAUUACCAGUGAUGUUUCUGAGUGUUCUAGAGAACAGAUUGAGAACCCAAAUCAGUUGGCUAAAGAGGAGAGCUGUGGUUCUAAUGGUGUUACCAAUGAAGUAUGUGAAGGAUCUACAGAAUCAACUGAGCUCCCAAUUCAACUGGCUGAAGAAGUGAGCUAUAGUUCUACUGUUGUUACCAAUGAAGUUUCUGAAGGUUCUACAGAACCAGCUGGACACCCAGUCGAAAUGACUGAAGCACUGACAUGUGGCUUCAUUUGUUUUACUGAAGGUUCUACAGAAACGAGUAAGCACAUGGUUGACGUGGCUGAGAAAAAGAGCUUUAGUGCUGUUGGUCUUGGUCUUGCCAACAAAGCUUGUGAAAGCUCUGAUGAACUGAAUGGGCACUCAGUCCACAUGACCAAAGAAGUGAUUUCUACCACCAGUUAUGUUUCUGAAGUUUCUUCAAAACAGACAGAGAACCCAUUUCAUGUGGCUGAGGAAGAGACCUGUGGUUCUAAUGUUACCAAUGAAGCUUCUGAAGGUUCUAAGGGGCUGAUUAAUCACUUAGUUCAAGUGGACAAAAAGGAGAUUUAUGUAUCUGCUGCUUUUACCAAUAAAGCUUCUGAAGAUUACCUUGAACCAGCAGGGUGCACUGUUAAAGUAGGUGAAGAAGAGAGCUAUGGCCGUACUGUCAUUACCAGUGAAGUUCCUCAAGGUUCUACAGAAUGGACUGGGCACCCAGCUCAAGUGGCUGAAAAUGAGAGCUGUGGUUCUAGUGCUAUUCCAAAAGAAGCUUCUGAAGGUUCUAGAGAAUCGACUGAGCAUUUGGUUCAAGUGGAUGUAGAUGAGAGCUGUGGUUCUAACACUGUUACCAAAGAAGCUUCUGAAAGUUCUAGAGAAUCAGCUGAGCAUGCUGUCCAAUUGGCUGAAGAUGAGAGCUAUGGCUCUAACACUGUUCCCAAAGAAGCUUCUGAAGGUUCUAAAAAAUGGACAGGGCAUCCACCUCAAAUGGCUAAAGAGAAGAGCAAUGGUUCUACUGCUAUUACUAAUGAAGUUUCUAGAAGAUUUAGAGAAUCGACCAAGCACUCCAUCAAAUUCGCUGAAUAUGAGAGCUGUGGUUCUAACACUCUUCCCAAAGAAGCUACUGAGGGUUCUAGAGAAUCGAUUGAGCAUUCGGUCCAAGUGGAUGUAGAUGAGAGCUGUGGUUCUAAUACUGUUCCCAAAGAAGCUUCUGAAGGUUCUACAGAAUGGACUGGGCACCCAGCUCUAGUGGCUGAAGAUGAGAAAUAUGGUUCUACUGCUGUUGCCAACAAAGCUUUUGUAGGUUCUCUUGAAUUGACUGGGCACCCAGCUCAAGGGGUUGAAGAUGAGAGCUAUGGUUCUAUUGCUAUUACUGAUGAAGUUUCUAGAAGAUUUAGAGAAUCGACUAAGCACUCCAUUAAAUUGGCUAAAGAUGAGAUUGGUGAUUCUAACACUGUUCUCAAAGAAACUUCUGAAGGUUCAAAAGAAUUAACGCAGCACUCUGUCCAAGUGGUUAAAGAUGAGAUCUGUGGUUCUAACACUGUUCCCAAAGAAGCUUCUGAGGGUUUUAAAGAACUAACUGAUCAAUCUGUCCUGUUGGCUAAAGAGGAUAGCUAUGGUUCUACAGCUAUUGCCAGCAAAGCUUUUGUAGGUUCUCUUGAACUGAUUGGGCACCCAUCUCAAGUGACUGAAGAAGAGAGCUAUGGUUCUACUGCUAUUGCUAAUAAGGUGCAUGAAGGUUCUUAUAAAGUCAGUAUGGAAGUCCAAGAAGCUUUAACAGCUUUGGAAGACAGUGACAUGGAGCUAGACAGAAACCCAAGAAGACUUCAGCUAAACAUUCAGACUAACUUGGAAGUUGGAAUGUGCAUGGAGCACUCAGACUAUGGGCUGACUGCCUCCACUGAGGCAGCGUUUUCAGAACUAUGUGAGACAGGAAGUCAAUUUGAACACAUGGAGUUAACUCAGAUGUCCAAUACAGCUGCAGAAGUGAGAUCUACAGACCCUGAUGGAAAACGAAGCAGCAGCACAGAGGGGCUGAUGGGGCACAAAGCACCACCUACUGACCAAGAGGAGUUAACGAAUGACCUUCCGGUGACCUCUGCUAUUGCCAAGCUGCAACCAAUCUGCAACCGUAACCUGAAUCUGGCUUUUACUGAGUUUUCUCAGGACCACAACAAUAUUCCCUCGUCUCUUUGCUCUGUGACAGACUCCCAGCUCAACAGCAUCACGUUAGGCAUGGAGCUGGAAGACCAAACAACUCUGGAAGGCUUUGUCCACCAGGAAGAUGCCACAGAGUUGGUCUGUGGCCUCAUCAAAGAGCUCUCAUCACUAAACUGCAUAGUAAUGGCCGCCCACAAGGAGAUGGAAGUACUGCGUCGAGGAAACAGGCCUCCAAAAGCUCCCAUUCGCCGCAGCUUCAGCCUUCGCAAUUCUGAGAUCUAACCAUCACACCAGAGCACUUUGAAGGUGGCUAGAAGCAUUCUGGGUAAUGUAGGGUCUCAGAUACAUGUAAUAGACUCUUUGACGAUACACUAACACUGACAGGUACCAAACGAAUCAGUUCAGUUCAGAAGAGAUUUUAUCAGUUAGGACUGAGCUUUUACCACAAAAGCAGUACUUUGCCAUCUUAACAUUGGGUUUGUUUGCAUGUCUGUGUUUUAGAUGUUCACUUACAUUUAAUUUUAUGACUCCAGCCAUAAUUCAAUUUCCUUUAAGUGAAACAGAUUCCCCUCAGAUUCCAUUUAAGGGUUAAUCUACAGUUACAGUAGAUACAGAAUCACCAGCACUGUAAUCUGUUGUACCCACACUUAUUCUUACUAUUCUUUUUCUUCUUCUAUUGUUUAAUGGGCGAUGAUAGAAAACAUCCUGUAAUUUUUUCUGAAAGUCUGGAACAUCUAAAAAAUAUUUUUUUUACAGUUGAUCUGGACAAAGAUCACCGCUCAUUUUAAGAAUAGUUAAAAGUGAAAGCACCCUUAUAUACAGUUUGAUAAGUAUGCUAGGAAAGAUUGUUUUACUAUAUUUGGUUAAUUCUCUAUUAACUCAUAUUUCUUAAGAUGUGUAAUUGUUGCAUUUUUUAGUUUAAGACCUGUUAUAGCACUUAUCUGUUAUUUUGAUGCACAUACCUGGUGUUUAAAACCAAAAACUGAUUAAUGCAAAUUCCUUACAUUCUAAUAACCAUCCAUAGGUUUACUUAGACUUUAUGCUCUAUGUAGACAUGUUCUAUCAUUCAUUCAUUAAUUCAUUCAGUCCACCUUAAAUCCUUUGUUUUAACUGUCAGAGAUCAGUUCUGUCCUACUGUUUUUGGUCCAUCUCUACUUAUAACUUUUGAUUUCUUUUAAGGUGGACCUUUUCUAUAUCGUCAAAGACAAUAAAUGUUGAUAGAUGCAGAAUAAAGACA
This 5656-nucleotide long non-coding RNA is filed under the name Astyanax mexicanus (Mexican tetra). RNAcentral's name for it is "lncRNA (ENSAMXG00005010657.1)". Lineage: Eukaryota; Metazoa; Chordata; Actinopteri; Characiformes; Acestrorhamphidae. The record is from RNAcentral.